RNAcentral lists this ribosomal RNA (429 nucleotides) under uncultured bacterium. RNAcentral describes it as "bacterial SSU rRNA". It matches the Rfam family "Bacterial small subunit ribosomal RNA", at positions 29 to 506 of the family's 1533-position model. The record is from RNAcentral.
ACGAACGCUGGCGGCAGGCCUAACACAUGCAAGUCGAGCGCCCCGCGAGGGGAGCGGCGGACGGGUGAGUAACGCGUGGGAACGUGCCCCUUGGUUCGGAAUAGCCCCGGGAAACUGGGAGUAAUACCGGAUGAGCUCUGCGGAGGAAAGAUUUAUCGCCGAGGGAUCGGCCCGCGUUGGAUUAGGUAGUUGGUGGGGUAACGGCCUACCAAGCCGACGAUCCAUAGCUGGUUUGAGAGGAUGAUCAGCCACACUGGGACUGAGACACGGCCCAGACUCCUACGGGAGGCAGCAGUGGGGAAUCUUGGACAAUGGGCGCAAGCCUGAUCCAGCCAUGCCGCGUGAGUGACGAAGGCCUUAGGGUUGUAAAGCUCUUUCGUGGGGGAAGAUAAUGACUGUACCCCAAGAAGAAGCCCCGGCUAACUCCGU